GAACGGAAUUGAAACUUCGGUGGAUUCUAGUGGCGGACGGGUGAGUAACGCGUGGGUACCCGCCUUAUACUGGGGGAUAACAGCCAGAAAUGACUGCUAAUACCGCAUAAGACCGCAUGGUAAAAACUCCGGUGGUAUAAGAUGGACCCGCGUUGGAUUAGCUAGUUGGCAGGGCAGCGGCCUACCAAGGCGACGAUCCAUAGCCGGCCUGAGAGGGUGAACGGCCACAUUGGGACUGAGACACGGCCCAGACUCCUACGGGAGGCAGCAGUGGGGAAUAUUGCACAAUGGGGGAAACCCUGAUGCAGCGACGCCGCGUGAAGGAAGAAGUAUCUCGGUAUGUAAACUUCUAUCAGCAGGGAAGAUAAUGACGGUACCUGACUAAGAAGCCCCGGCUAACUACGUGCCAGCAGCCGCGGUAAUACGUAGGGGGCAAGCGUUAUCCGGAUUUACUGGGUGUAAAGGGAGCGUAGACGGCGCAGCAAGUCUGAUGUGAAAGCAGGGGCUUAACCCCUGGACUGCAUUGGAAACUGCUGUGCUUGAGUGCCGGAGGGGUAAGCGGAAUUCCUAGUGUAGCGGUGAAAUGCGUAGAUAUUAGGAGGAACACCAGUGGCGAAGGCGGCUUACUGGACGGUAACUGACGUUGA
This 647-nucleotide ribosomal RNA is filed under the name uncultured bacterium. RNAcentral's name for it is "bacterial SSU rRNA". It matches the Rfam family "Bacterial small subunit ribosomal RNA", at positions 64 to 749 of the family's 1533-position model. The record is from RNAcentral.